UACGUAGGGUGCGAGCGUUGUCCGGAAUUAUUGGGCGUAAAGAGCUCGUAGGCGGCUUGUCACGUCGGAUGUGAAAGCCCGGGGCUUAACCCCGGGUCUGCAUUCAAUACGGGCAGGCUAGAGUGUGGUAGGGGAGAUCGGAAUUCCUGGUGUAGCGGUGAAAUGCGCAGAUAUCAGGAGGAACACCGGUGGCGAAGGCGGAUCUCUGGGCCAUUACUGACGCUGAGGAGCGAAAGCGUGGGGAGCGAACAGG
RNAcentral lists this ribosomal RNA (253 nucleotides) under uncultured bacterium. Its description in RNAcentral is "partial 16S ribosomal RNA". It matches the Rfam family "Bacterial small subunit ribosomal RNA", at positions 524 to 776 of the family's 1533-position model. The record is from RNAcentral.